UACGAAGGGGGCGAGGCGUUGUUCGGAAUCACUGGGCGUAAAGGGCGCGUAGGCGGCCCCUCUUAGUCGCGUGUGAAAGCCCCGGGCUCAACCUGGGAACGGCGCGCGAAACGGGAGGGCUGGAGUUCGGGAGAGGAGAGUGGAAUUCCCAGUGUAGAGGUGAAAUUCGUAGAUAUUGGGAAGAACACCGGUGGCGAAGGCGGGCUCUCUGGGACCUGCCU
RNAcentral lists this ribosomal RNA (221 nucleotides) under uncultured bacterium. Its description in RNAcentral is "partial 16S ribosomal RNA". It matches the Rfam family "Bacterial small subunit ribosomal RNA", at positions 524 to 741 of the family's 1533-position model. The record is from RNAcentral.